RNAcentral lists this long non-coding RNA (280 nucleotides) under Linum usitatissimum (flax). RNAcentral's name for it is "long non-coding RNA (LUSI_LNC000797)". The record is from RNAcentral. Lineage: Eukaryota; Viridiplantae; Streptophyta; Magnoliopsida; Malpighiales; Linaceae.
AUUGAAGAAAUCAACGACACUUUUGUUAGUGACAAACUGAAGAACUGAAACUUCACCAACCAACUUUGAUUCCUUCAAUAGAAAUGCAACCUGUGAUCACAAGUUGCAGAUUGUUACAAACAAGUUUGUGUACCUUGCCAUCAUGUAGAGUUAUUGAAUGGUUCUCAAAAUCAUAGUUUUGGAUGAUACACUGAAAUCAAUGAACCUCUCCAGCCCUAAACUCGUAAGUAAACUCUUUCGAUCUGUAGAAUUACAGCAUAUAGUUAUGUAGGAUUAGCUG